Molecule: ribosomal RNA, 427 nt
Filed under: uncultured bacterium
Lineage: Bacteria
Description: partial 16S ribosomal RNA
Rfam family: Bacterial small subunit ribosomal RNA
Source: RNAcentral
UGGGGAAUAUUGCACAAUGGGCGCAAGCCUGAUGCAGCCAUGCCGCGUGUAUGAAGAAGGCCUUCGGGUUGUAAAGUACUUUCAGCGGGGAGGAAGGCGAUAAGGUUAAUAACCUUGUCGAUUGACGUUACCCGCAGAAGAAGCACCGGCUAACUCCGUGCCAGCAGCCGCGGCAAUACGGAGGGGGCAAGCGUUAAUCGGAAUUACUGGGCGUAAAGCGCACGCAGGCGGUCUGUCAAGUCGGAUGUGAAAUCCCCGGGCUCAACCUGGGAACUGCAUUCGAAACUGGCAGGCUAGAGUCUUGUAGAGGGGGGUAGAAUUCCAGGUGUAGCGGUGAAAUGCGUAGAGAUCUGGAGGAAUACCGGUGGCGAAGGCGGCCCCCUGGACAAAGACUGACGCUCAGGUGCGAAAGCGUGGGGAGCAAACA